UUCCGGUUGAUCCCGCCGGACCUGACUGCUAUCGGAUUGAUACUAAGCCAUGCGAGUCAUUGUAGCAAUACAAGGCAGACGGCUCAGUAACGCGUAGUCAAUCUACCCUAUGGACGGGAAUAACCUCGGGAAACUGAGAAUAAUGCCCGAUAGAACACUAUGCCUGGAAUGGUUUGUGUUCCAAAUGAUUUAUCGCCGUAGGAUGGGACUGCGGCCUAUCAGUUUGUUGGUGAGGUAAUGGCCCACCAAGACUAUUACAGGUACGGGCUCUGAGAGGAGUGGCCCGGAGAUGGGUACUGAGACACGGACCCAGGCCCUAUGGGGCGCAGCAGGCGAGAAAACUUUGCAAUGUGCGAAAGCACGACAAGGUUAAUCCGAGUGGUUUCUGCUAAAGAAACCUUUUGUCAGUCCUAGAAACACUGAUGAAUAAGGGGUGGGCAAGUUCUGGUGUCAGCCGCCGCGGUAAAACCAGCACCUCAAGUGGUCAGGAUGAUUAUUGGGCCUAAAGCAUCCGUAGCCGGCUCUGUAAGUUUUCGGUUAAAUCUGUGCGCUUAACGUACAGGCUGCCGGGAAUACUGCAGAGCUAGGGAGUGGGAGAGGUAGACGGUACUCGGUAGGAAGGGGUAAAAUCCUUUGAUCUAUUGAUGACCACCUGUGGCGAAGGCGGUCUACCAGAACACGUCCGACGGUGAGGGAUGAAAGCUGGGGGAGCAAACCGGAUUAGAUACCCGGGUAGUCCCAGCUGUAAACUAUGCAAACUCAGUGAUGCAUUGGCUUGUGGCCAAUGCAGUGCUGCAGGGAAGCCGUUAAGUUUGCC
Molecule: ribosomal RNA, 817 nt
Filed under: uncultured archaeon
Lineage: Archaea
Description: bacterial SSU rRNA
Rfam family: Archaeal small subunit ribosomal RNA
Source: RNAcentral